GAACAUACUCCAAUCUUACGAUUUUGACAUUAAUCAAACCUCAGGCCAAAACAUUUGCAGUCUGCUUGUAUUUUCGGUAAUAUCGGUCUGCUAAUUUAUUUGUUUUCGGUUCAAGGAAGGCAAAGUAAUGGUAAAACGCAAACUUGAGAUAGAUGGUGGUGAUAGCAAACCACAAAGGAAGCAAUCGACUCCAUGGACUCAAGACGAGACCGAAACUUUGUGCGACUUAAUUUUAAAGCAUGGAACUGGUGCAAUUUUAAAUAAAAGGACAAAUGCGGGUACUAAGGAACAAAGAGAACACGAGUGGAAAACUAUUGAAGCGGACUUUCAGGCUAUAACAAGCAACAAACGUAACAUGCAAACAUUGAAAGCCCGAUUCAAGCGAGUUAUGUAUGAGUUGCGCAUGUAUUCGGCAUGGACUCGGCGA
Molecule: long non-coding RNA, 427 nt
Organism: Topomyia yanbarensis
Lineage: Eukaryota; Metazoa; Arthropoda; Insecta; Diptera; Culicidae
Exons: 3
Source: RefSeq, a predicted model, not a curated record